Molecule: ribosomal RNA, 508 nt
Filed under: uncultured bacterium
Lineage: Bacteria
Description: partial 16S ribosomal RNA
Rfam family: Bacterial small subunit ribosomal RNA
Source: RNAcentral
GACGGACGCUGGCGGCGCGCUUAACACAUGCAAGUCGAGCGAGAACCAGGGCUUCGGCCCUGGGGACAGCGGCGAACGGGUGAGUAACACGUGGAUAACCUGCCCUCGGCACCGGGAUAGCCCGGGGAAACCCGGAUUAAUACCGGAUGGCCCUUCCGGCUCACGAGCCGGUCGGAAAAGGUAGCUUCGGCCUCCGGCCGAGGAUGGGUCCGCGGCGGAUUAGCUUGUUGGUGGGGUAACGGCCCACCAAGGCUCCGAUCCGUAGCUGGUCUGAGAGGACGAUCAGCCACACUGGGAGUGAGACACGGCCCAGACUCCUACGGGAGGCAGCAGUGGGGAAUCUUGCGCAAUGGGCGAAAGCCUGACGCAGCGACGCCGCGUGAGGGAGGAAGGCCUUCGGGUUGUAAACCUCUUUCAGGAGGGACGAAGCUACUCGGGUGAAUAGCCCAGAGGGUGACGGUACCUCCAGAUGAAGCCCCGGCUAACUACGUGCCAGCCGCCGCGGUAA